Non-coding RNA from Penaeus vannamei (Pacific white shrimp), 288 nucleotides. Lineage: Eukaryota; Metazoa; Arthropoda; Malacostraca; Decapoda; Penaeidae. The record is from RefSeq and is a predicted model, not a curated record.
GAACGCCGCCGCUGACCUUCUUGGCCAACGUAUAUAUAUAAGGUCGCGCUGUAGUCUGGCCAUUCCACUCCCUCCCUCGUCCUCCUGUGCCGCCGCCAACCUCGGUCCCUUAAGACAACCGAAAAUGAAAGUCUUCGUCAUCGCCGUCGUCCUCACUGCCGUGCUCGGGGCUCCUCGGCCUCAGCAACAGCAGGCAACAGCACCCGUUUAUCCCAUCAUCCCGUACUCGUACCAGUACGAAACCAGCGACGCCGCCACCGGCAACUUCCACAACAAGGCCGAGCUGAA